Molecule: ribosomal RNA, 829 nt
Filed under: Stagira sp. ERLG-2019
Lineage: Eukaryota; Metazoa; Arthropoda; Insecta; Hemiptera; Cicadidae
Description: SSU rRNA
Rfam family: Eukaryotic small subunit ribosomal RNA
Source: RNAcentral
AUUUGCCAAGUAUGUUCCCGUUAAUCAAGAACGAAAGUUAGAGGUUCGAAGGCGAUCAGAUACCGCCCUAGUUCUAACCAUAAACGAUGCCAGCCAGCGAUCCGCCGAAGUUCCUCCGAUGACUCGGCGGGCAGCUUCCGGGAAACCAAAGCUUUUGGGUUCCGGGGGAAGUAUGGUUGCAAAGCUGAAACUUAAAGGAAUUGACGGAAGGGCACCACCAGGAGUGGAGCCUGCGGCUUAAUUUGACUCAACACGGGAAACCUCACCAGGCCCGGACACCGGAAGGAUUGACAGAUUGAGAGCUCUUUCUUGAUUCGGUGGGUGGUGGUGCAUGGCCGUUCUUAGUUGGUGGAGCGAUUUGUCUGGUUAAUUCCGGUAACGAACGAGACUCUAGCCUGCUAAAUAGACGAUUUCCGGUAUCCACAAUAGUGCUACCGGCGAAAUCAAUAUCUUCUUAGAGGGACAGGCGGCUUUCAGCCGCACGAAACUGAGCAAUAACAGGUCUGUGAUGCCCUUAGAUGUCCUGGGCCGCACGCGCGCUACACUGAAGGAAUCAGCGUGUACACCCUGGCCGAAAGGCUCGGGCAACCCGUUGAACCUCCUUCGUGCUAGGGAUUGGGGCUUGCAAUUGUUCCCCAUGAACGAGGAAUUCCCAGUAAGCGCGAGUCAUAAGCUCGCGUUGAUUACGUCCCUGCCCUUUGUACACACCGCCCGUCGCUACUACCGAUUGAAUGAUUUAGUGAGGUCUUCGGACUGGUGCGCGGCGGCCGCCUGCGCGGCCGCCGAUGCCACCGGGAAGAUGACCGAACUUGAUCAUUUAGAGGAAGUA